ACAGAGUGCGAUGUGUGCAUUGCAUUGCGACGGGUUACAUCACUGGUCGUAACAUGAUGUAACCCAACGCAGCAUGAUGUAAGCGUCGUGAUACAUUGG
Molecule: microRNA precursor, 99 nt
Organism: Gopherus agassizii (Agassiz's desert tortoise)
Lineage: Eukaryota; Metazoa; Chordata; Testudines; Testudinidae
Source: Ensembl